This 2221-nucleotide long non-coding RNA is filed under the name Homo sapiens (human). Its description in RNAcentral is "non-protein coding NUTM2B-AS1:30". Lineage: Eukaryota; Metazoa; Chordata; Mammalia; Primates; Hominidae. The record is from RNAcentral.
GCUGAUGAUACCACCACCAAGAAAUCAUCACCAUUAAUAUUUUGGCUUUUUUGUUUUCAGAUUUUUUCCAUUAUGAAAUUGUUGAUAUUUGAUCCUCUUGACCUAUAAAAAUGUUAAUAUCAUAUAGCUUACUCGAACAUAUCCAAAUAAUGUCAUAUAUAUUAUUUUAUGUACCAAAAAGCAUACUAAACAGAUUGUUUUAUAGCUUACUUUUCUCAUUUUUAACAUUAUAAUUUAAGCAUUUGUUCAUAAUAUUAAAACUUUUUGAAAACAUUAUUAUGAAUGACUAUUUCAAUAUGUGGAUGUACCACAACUUACCUAAUGAUUUACCUACUGGUAAUCAUUGAGUUGGACUGGUUGGACAUGAGUUGUUUCUAAUUUGUCGCUAUUACAAAUAAUGCUCUGAUAAAUAUGUAUAAUUAAUUUGUGUUUCAGAUUAUUUUUAUUUCUAGAAAUGAGAUUCUUGGUUAUAGGCUAAAUAUAUUUUCUUGGUUUUUUUUUUUGUUCAUUUGUUUGUUUGAGAUGGAGUCUCCCUGUCACCCAGACUGGAAUGCAGUGGCAUGAUCUUGGUUCACUGAAACCUCUGCCUUUCUGGUUCAAGCAAUUCUCAUGUUUCAGCCUCCCAAGCAACGUGUUGGACCUUCCGGAGCUUCUCAGAAGACAGAGGGUUUUCUUUUGAGGUAAAUUUGAUAGUACAUUUUGAUAGUACGGGAGGCGAUACGGCAUGGUGACAGAAAAGCGCCGGCUUGGUUAGCAGGACCACCUGGCAGGGCUGCAGGCUGUGCCACUUACCAGGCAGGGGACCUUGGGCCAGCUGCUUGGCCUCACUCACCCUGUUUCUCAGCUGCAAUUGGGAUGAACAGACUGCCUGCUUCGGGGUUGCCUAAAACUCACAUUGGUUAAUGAUGUGAAAUGCUUAGCGCAGUGCCUGGCAUAGAGAGAAUUCUCAUUAGAUGAUACCUCAGCUGGGCUUUAGGAGCUACAGAAGAAGCUGCAUCUCCAUGAGCUCAGCGUGUUUCUAGCUUUCCUUUUUGUUUUCUAUUCAACCUUUCACCCAACUCAGCUUCUCAAUCCCUAAAUGACAAAGGUUUGGGAAGGAAGACUUGGACCGAGGCUUGCAUUUGUUUCUGAGAAUUAAACGUUAUGUUUUCUUCAAUCUAAAUAGGUUUGCUUGUACAGCCUUGUUGAAUGGUUUUUUUUUUUUUUCUCCAUGAUAAAUGACUCUCAACUUCUUUUCCCUCAUCUAAUUGCUUAUCUACAUACAAUGCCUGGAAGGAAAUAAAUGUAAUGGCCCGUAGCAACUGGCCUUCAGGUAUCAAGUUUAAGUCCCUUUAAGCAGAACAGCAAAUUGAGCACAGAAUGAACUGGUUUCAUGGUAGCGUACUGCAAUUAGAUGCAAGAAUAGGGAAAGCAGGGUGCUUCAAGUGGUGACACAAUUAGUAUAGCACUGAGGGACUUCUCUUUCCACUUCUUCAACUCCGCCUGCAUUCCGCUGGCUGAAGAGUUGAUGACAUCCCUGAAAAAUCUUCCCUCUCUUGUUUCUCUGAUGCCACCUCUGUGUUCUCCGCCUCACUGGCCACACUUCCUUUACCUCCCAAACUUUUAACUCUGAGUGUCCCAAACUUGUCUCAUCACCUACCCCUGCUGCCCAGCUCCCCAGCCUGUUCCCCUUCUGACACGGGCACUCUCCUUCUGCUCUCUUGGGAGAGAAACAAUGAAGGCCUAUUUGGCACUUUUAUUUCUAUUCAAGGAACCAGACUGUGAACAAGUUUACCAUUUAGUCCUUUGGACUGUGUCUUGAAUUCAUCCCUCUUCUCCAUUCUCACCAGCACCAUCAUCAUGAUGGCUAAUAUUUCCUGAGCACCUUUCAUUCAGGCAUGAUGCCAGGUGCACCAACUUACUUAAUCCUCAUAGCCACCACCUGAGCAAGCUCCUGUUUUAUAAAUGGACCAGUUCUUGUUGCUGUUGUACAAGUUAUUUUCUUUCUAUAACGUCCUCCUUGUCCUCCUUCCACAUUCUUAAAGAAACUUUCCCUUCCUUUAAAGUACUCAGGGAGCCCUGCAUUGCUUCUUGAAGCCUUCUCCAGCUUCAUCAUCUCACAGUGGUCUCUCUUUUCACUAAAUGUCCAAUAUGCUGCACAUAAGUACCCCAAAGUUAGCACAGAAUUGUUCCAUGGCUGUCAUAUAUGUUAAAAAUCAUUAAAAGUUCAUUUUUUCUCCCA